GUCUAGUACUCAGAGUUUGAUCCUGGCUCAGGACGAACGCUGGCGGCGUGCCUAAUACAUGCAAGUUGAGCGAUGAAGAUUGGUGCUUGCACCAAUUUGAAGAGCAGCGAACGGGUGAGUAACGCGUGGGGAAUCUGCCUUUGAGCGGGGGACAACAUUUGGAAACGAAUGCUAAUACCGCAUAAUAACUUUAAACAUAAGUUUUAAGUUUGAAAGAUGCAAUUGCAUCACUCAAAGAUGAUCCCGCGUUGUAUUAGCUAGUUGGUGAGGUAAAGGCUCACCAAGGCGAUGAUACAUAGCCGACCUGAGAGGGUGAUCGGCCACAUUGGGACUGAGACACGGCCCAA
RNAcentral lists this ribosomal RNA (347 nucleotides) under uncultured bacterium. Its description in RNAcentral is "bacterial SSU rRNA". It matches the Rfam family "Bacterial small subunit ribosomal RNA", at positions 1 to 334 of the family's 1533-position model. The record is from RNAcentral.